RNAcentral lists this ribosomal RNA (431 nucleotides) under uncultured bacterium. Its description in RNAcentral is "partial 16S ribosomal RNA". It matches the Rfam family "Bacterial small subunit ribosomal RNA", at positions 29 to 507 of the family's 1533-position model. The record is from RNAcentral.
AACGAACGCUGGCGGCAGGCUUAACACAUGCAAGUCGAGCGCCUCGUAAGAGGAGCGGCAGACGGGUGAGUAACGCGUGGGAACGUACCCUUAUCUUCGGAAUAGCUCUGGGAAACUGGAAGUAAUACCGAAUGUGCCCUUAGGGGGAAAGAUUUAUCGGAUAAGGAUCGGCCCGCGUGGGAUUAGCUAGUUGGUGGGGUAAAGGCCUACCAAGGCGACGAUCCAUAGCUGGUCUGAGAGGAUGAUCAGCCACAUUGGGACUGAGACACGGCCCAAACUCCUACGGGAGGCAGCAGUGGGGAAUAUUGGACAAUGGGCGCAAGCCUGAUCCAGCCAUGCCGCGUGAGUGAUGAAGGCCUUAGGGUUGUAAAGCUCUUUCACCGGAGAAGAUAAUGACGGUAUCCGGAGAAGAAGCCCCGGCUAACUUCGUG